UACGGGAGGCAGCAGUGGGGAAUAUUGCACAAUGGGCGAAAGCCUGAUGCAGCUAUGCCGCGUGUAUGAAGAAGGCCUUAGGGUUGUAAAGUACUUUCAUCGGGGAGGAAAAAACAAAACUAAUAAUUUUAUUUCUUGACGUUACCCGAAAAAGAAGCACCGGCUAACUCCGUGCCAGCAGCCGCGGUAAUACGGAGGGUGCUAGCGUUAAUCAGAAUUACUGGGCGUAAAGAGCACGUAGGUGGUUUUUUUAAAGUCAGAUGUGAAAUCCCUGGGCUUUAACCUAGGAACUGCAUUUUGAAACUGAAAUACUAGAGUAUCGUAGAGGGAGGUAGAAUUCUAGGUGUAGCGGUGAAAUGCGUAGAUAUCUGGAGGAAUACCUGUGGCGAAAGCGGCCUCCUAAACGAAUACUGACACUGAGGGUGCGAAAGCGUGGGGAGCAAACGAGGGAUUAGAUACC
Molecule: ribosomal RNA, 460 nt
Filed under: uncultured bacterium
Lineage: Bacteria
Description: bacterial SSU rRNA
Rfam family: Bacterial small subunit ribosomal RNA
Source: RNAcentral